CCUGCGUCUUACAAUAAUUAACUAAAAUGUGUACUCUCCUUCAAAUAAAUUGUACUAUAAAAUUUAGCCUAAUAUGAAUCUAGGGAACUUAUUUCAAUGAAUUGUAUUUCCAACUAAAGUUUCAACAGCCUUAUAAAUUACAGUAGUACUUUGAUUCAAAAACAUCCCCUCAAUAUUAACCAUAGGAAAUUUAUUCCUGGGCUCUUAAUUAAUUAAAACCAUCUAUCAAAUUUGAAUAAUAAAAUACAAAAUCUAUAAUUAUAUUCUAUUCAAUAUUAAGUUACUAUUGGUUAGGUUCGUAAGUAAUUAUUUCAGUUUUCGAUUUUACCAAAAUUAGACUAUCAGCAAUGAUGGAAGUUCAUUACAUAAGAGUGACCACAACUCAUCAUCAGUUUUUUAAAAUCACUAACAUAACAAUUAGUUACAAACUUAAACAAUGUUUACUAGACAAUUUAUAAUUUUUUUAAAACUACCUACUCCAUACUUGCUUUUUAUCACAAAUACUGAGGUAAAAUAACAAAAUAUUGACCUAUGGUUAAUAAUUUCCAGGAACAAACA
This is a non-coding RNA of Cinara cedri, 558 nucleotides long. The record is from the annotation of a GenBank genome assembly. NCBI's taxonomy places the organism in Eukaryota, Metazoa, Arthropoda, Insecta, Hemiptera, Aphididae.